Long non-coding RNA from Cyprinus carpio carpio, 1054 nucleotides. The record is from Ensembl. Lineage: Eukaryota; Metazoa; Chordata; Actinopteri; Cypriniformes; Cyprinidae.
AUGCGAUCUCGGUGGCUUGGCUCUGCCUCAGAGGGAUCUGGCACUGUGACUCCUAGCAGUUCCAGCAUAUCCUCCACACAGACACACUGCUCUCCUAAUACAGGACAGAGAGCUUUCCGCUCUGCCAUACAGGGCAUCUCAUGUCACACGAUGUGGCUGUUUGUAUACUUUAAGGAUCCAGUUCUAAAUCUAUCUCUCAGUGAAUGUGCGCAUGUCCUCGAGCUGAGUUACCCAACGACCCAGAGUUCACAGUGUUAAGUGGGUCAGACGUGACGCUGUGGCGUCUAGAGGAACGGUCUGUCAUAACCCUCACACUCCACAGUCCACAGUGUUAAAUAGGUCAGUCACAGCAGGUCACGCACAACCAUGUCGACCGUGGAGCAAUUUGUUCUGUGAAGUGUGUAAGUGUACGAAGUGUACAUGUGUGCUGUAAAUAUUAAUGUAAAGUUAUUUUUUUACCACAGUGGUAGUCUAGAGGGUUUUCAAGCUUUUAGAUGCUACAAACCCCAAAAUAUGAUCAAAAGGCAGCUAUAUAUUUUAAUGUAUAAAGACCCAUUUUAUCCUGCAAAACUGAAUAUUACAAAUGUGCAAAAUAUUUUAUUACAUUAUUACUUUUCUUUUUUCGCUACUCAGGUACUGUACUAUUAAAUGUAUUUAUUUAUUUUUAACAAACAUUUUAUUAUUUGUUUAGUUUAUUCUAAUUUGCGAUAUAUUUAUAUUUUAAUUGUAACUUUUUUUUUUUUUUUUACUUUUUUUUUUCAUCUUUCUCUAAACCUUUCUAUGGACCCCCCAGCACUUCCUUGCAGCCUCUCAUUUAUUGCAUUUAUAUUGUAAAAAUCAAUAUUAUCAGUAAAUAUUAUUUGAAAAAAUAUUUAGUUUGUAUUGUUACAUUAAUUUUUUCCCUACUCACUAAGGUAAUGUACUGUUAGAUGUAUUUAUUAUUUAUAAUAAAUGUUUUUGUUUAUUUAAAAAUAUUUAUAUAUUUCUAAAUAAAAAGGAUUUUAAAAAAUUGUUUUACAUUUUUUUUCUUGAAUUUUCCAUGAAUCCCUAGCAC